AACGAACGCUGGCGGCAGGCUUAACACAUGCAAGUCGAGCGCCCCUCAAUGUGAGCGUCAGUCGGGUGAGUAACGCGUGGGUACGUACCUUUUGUUUCGGAUCAACUCCGGGAGACUGUAGCUCAUGCCGGCUAAGCCCUAACGUCGAAAGAUUUAUCGCCGAAAGAUCGGCCCGCGUCUGAUUAGCUAGUUGGUGAGGUAACGGCUCACCAAGGCGACGCUCAGUAGCUGGUUUGAGAGGAUGAACAGCCACACUGGGACUGAGACACGGACCAGACUCGUACGGGAGGCAGCAGUGGGGAAUAUGAGACAAUGGGCGCAAGCCUGAGAAAGACAUGCCGCGUGAGUGAUGAAGGCCUUAGGGGGGUAAAGCUAGUUUGUCCGGGAAGAUAAUGACUGUACCGGAAGAAUAAGCACCGGCUAACUUCGUG
RNAcentral lists this ribosomal RNA (431 nucleotides) under uncultured bacterium. RNAcentral describes it as "partial 16S ribosomal RNA". It matches the Rfam family "Bacterial small subunit ribosomal RNA", at positions 29 to 507 of the family's 1533-position model. The record is from RNAcentral.